UCUAAAUGACUCUCGGCAACGGAUAUCUCGGCUCUCGCAUCGAUGAAGAACGUAGCGAAAUGCGAUACUUGGUGUGAAUUGCAGAAUCCCGUGAACCAUCGAGUCUUUGAACGCAAGUUGCGCCUGAAGCCUCACGGUCGAGGGCACGCYUGCCUGGGCGUCACGCUU
RNAcentral lists this ribosomal RNA (168 nucleotides) under Buchnera cryptocephala. RNAcentral describes it as "5.8S ribosomal RNA". It matches the Rfam family "5.8S ribosomal RNA". Rfam says of the family: 5.8S ribosomal RNA (5.8S rRNA) is a component of the large subunit of the eukaryotic ribosome. It is transcribed by RNA polymerase I as part of the 45S precursor that also contains 18S and 28S rRNA. The record is from RNAcentral. Lineage: Eukaryota; Viridiplantae; Streptophyta; Magnoliopsida; Lamiales; Orobanchaceae.